GACAGAGGGUGCAAACGUUGUUCGGAAUUACUGGGCGUAAAGCGCGUGUAGGCGGUUAUGCAAGGCGGGUGUGAAAGCCCGGAGCUCAACUCCGGAAGUGCAUUCGAUACUGCGUAGCUAGAGUACUGGAGAGGAUGGUGGAACUCUCGGUGUAGAGGUGAAAUUCGUAGAUAUCGAGAAGAACACCGGUGGCGAAGGCGGCCAUCUGGACAGAUACUGACGCUGAGACGCGAAAGCGUGGGGAGCAAACAGG
RNAcentral lists this ribosomal RNA (253 nucleotides) under uncultured bacterium. RNAcentral describes it as "partial 16S ribosomal RNA". It matches the Rfam family "Bacterial small subunit ribosomal RNA", at positions 524 to 776 of the family's 1533-position model. The record is from RNAcentral.